UCUCCGUUGGUGAACCAGCGGAGGGAUCAUUACUGGAAUCGCAAGAUCCCACAACCCUGUGAACCUACCGAAACGUUGCCUCGGCGGGUGCCCGGCCUCUCCGCCGGGCGCUGCGCCCGCCGGCGGCCCCCUACUCUGUCUCUGCAGCGUGGCAUCUCAGAGUCCCAGAAAACAAGUCAAAACUUUCAACAACGGAUCUCUUGGCUCUA
This 209-nucleotide unclassified non-coding RNA is filed under the name plant metagenome. Its description in RNAcentral is "partial contains small subunit ribosomal RNA, internal transcribed spacer 1, and 5.8S ribosomal RNA". The record is from RNAcentral.